RNAcentral lists this non-coding RNA (89 nucleotides) under Pseudomonas sp. WPR_5_2. Lineage: Bacteria; Pseudomonadati; Pseudomonadota; Gammaproteobacteria; Pseudomonadales; Pseudomonadaceae. The record is from RNAcentral.
UGUGGGAGCGAGCCUGCUCGCGAAGACGGUCUAUCAGUCAGAGAUGAUGUGACUGACACGCUGCCUUCGCGAGCAGGCUCGCUCCCACA